Long non-coding RNA from Drosophila miranda, 826 nucleotides. RefSeq lists it as uncharacterized. The record is from RefSeq and is a predicted model, not a curated record. NCBI's taxonomy places the organism in Eukaryota, Metazoa, Arthropoda, Insecta, Diptera, Drosophilidae. The transcript has 3 exons.
AAUUCAGAAACUAUUCAGCAAUAAAAUUUGUAUGUAAAUAAUUCAUUUUAUAUUUGUUAAAAUGCCCAAGUCAGAGGAUAAAGUAAAUAUUUUAUUAUAAUAUAAUAUGACAUGAGUAUCAUGUCCAACCGACUCAAGGAGAGCGAAGGAGGGAGCCAUAACCGAUUCGAAGAAGGCCGUUCGACUAUCGAUGGUAUCGACUGAAUAAUCGCUAAAUCUGCGCGCCAAGGUCGAAUAUUUUGAAAGUGAAUGAGUGACAAUGAUACGAGCGCCACCCAGUGGAAAGUGAUUUGAGAGAUCGAAAAUUCUAAAAAAGCGGCGUAUACGUAGGGAUACUUAAUCUCUCUUUGCUGAAAGCGAAUCAUCUUCUGAUUUCAGCUCUGAGCAGCCGCAUCUAUCGGAAGUCCCUCCGCCUCAGUCGCACUUCUCUGGACGACACGGCAGUGCGGCAGGUGGUGAAUCUUCUGUCCAAAGCUGUUGGAUGGUCCUUAUCGACUAGUCACAUCAGUCCUCCGACUGAGGACUCUGAGGCAGUAGACCAGUCCCAUUCAAUGCCAAGAAUCUCGGAAGCGCCGACGAUUGUAGAAAGACACAUAGUCCACAUAGAGACGGGACAGGAAGUCCCUUCGGAAGAUGGGAUCGAUGAAAGGAGUUUGUGUAUUCAUUCGUCUGGCGUUCAAUCCAGCACAAGGCAGUAUUAGUGCCGUUGAAGCCAGUGCAAGACAGUAGUGGGCUUUCGUAGAAGGCACCAAAAAUGCCAAUCUGUCCUGAGCGCACGAGUGAGGACGGAGCGAUUCCCUAUGCCACACGAUACAUUUAUUCCUUU